CCAAUAUUCCCGCCGCACAGAACUCCCUCGCUCUGAGCCCUAAUUCCAUUCCCGCACAAACCUUCUUCGCUCUCAGGCUCUCCCCUUAAUUCCAUUCCAGCACAAACCUCUCGCUCUCAGCCCUCAUUCGAUGAGUUAAGGCUCAGCUCUCACUCACCCUCUGCGUGUACUUGGAUCGGAGCUCACAAUCGUUUGCUAGAGGACGAUUGAAGACGCCGUCGGCGAGCUCGGUGACCGGAGCUUAUUCUUCAUCAUCUGCAACCAGCUCUAUUCCAGAUCACUGCGACACCAAAGACUUCUACUCCUACCACGUUCGUGGCAUCCUUAAGCCCCUCAACAUUCAACAAGGCUGUGUCAUCUGCCCCCUUCUCCGUUAAACCUUCUUUUAUUAACUUUUUUGGUGGAUUCCAUGGAGGAGCUAUAGCUUCUAUUGCUGAGGUUGUGUUGGUAGCUACUACAAGAACAGUUGUGGUUGAGGAUAAGGAGCUUUUUCUAGGGGAACUAAGCAUCUCUUACCUCUCUUCUGCUCCAAAGAAUAACAUAGUUCUAACCAGGAAGGAAUUUUAAAGCUCUGCAAGAGAAUUGAGUACACGAUUCAGGCUUGGUAUCUUCUACAAUUCGAGGAUUUGAUGCAACUGUAUUCGCUCUUUGACCCCGUACAUGGGAAUCAAAAAUUGCAACAACAACGUUUAUCUGAAAUGGGCUGAUGUGUUGUUGAUUCUCUUACUUAUUUCUUCUGGUCUAUUUAACAGCUUAUUGCUUUGAAUAUUACGGUUAGAUAUGUAAGUAGGAGUAUUUUAAUACAUUUACCUCUGAGUUUAUAGAGUCAAAGUGAUACAGAGUCCAGCUAUUGAUGCAUACCUCACUCUUUAUGUUUAACUUAAUAAGACAAACAUUUUGCUUCAUAUGCAGCAUUUGCUUUGAGUUGUCAUAUUUUAUUGGAAUUAGACUGUUGUAUCUGUAUUGUGAUCGAUUCUACAAAUGGGUUUGUUAUAUAGGUGUUCUUUGUGGACUGAUUGUUACUUUCUUACUAAUGUUCUAUAGUGAUUGCAGGAACUUUCGGGCACAAUUACUAAGCUAAUGCACAUGCAGCUUUCUAAUUGGACUUUCUAAUGACAGGUUGAUGUACUUUCCAAGGGGACUAAUUUUAAUUGUAUUGGUGAUUGGGUUGUGGAGGCCACUGUAAAGUAAGAUUAGUUUGCAUGCACAUUUUCUUCUACUUAUUUAUAUAGUAUCUAUCUCAAAAAGAGUUUCCCUUGGUGCUUGUUUGUUUGCAAUGUUAUGAGCAUUCACCUGACGAGUGCAAAGUCUUUGGUUGGAGUAGUUGGAGUUGCACAAAAGGAAAAGAAGGGGCGGGAUGUGUAUGUUAUGGUGAGCUUCUUGAUGGGAAUUCUGGAAGUUUACUUAGUACUGAGCAGCAAAUCCAUGCUCCAGCUAAUUUUAAAAAGGGCACACACCAAAUGCUUUCACAAGCAAUAUAGUGCUUUUAACAGAUAACACAGUUUUGCUUUUCUGGGCCAUGCAAAUACUGAAAGGCACUUUGCAUUGUGUCUUCAUCAAGAUUGGGUAUCAAGGUGGGCUUUGCUUAAAAAUUAGGAUCAAGAAGGUUGGUAUGCGGAGAUAAUAAUAAAGGCAUACGGAGAAAGCUUGCCUUGACCACACUGCUGGCUUAGUUGCUGUGCGUAAAUAGUACUAUCGUAUCUAGUAGUUGGUGACUUAUUUUGGUAACCUCCUUGAUUGUACAAGAUAGACAAUAUUACUUGCUAGAUUGAGGUUACUUUUGGUUAGGAUUGCUGGAUUUGAUCAUAUCUGGAUAUGGAUAUGUACUUUUGGAAAUGUUUAGGAUUGGCAAUGUAAGAACAGAUGGCAUUGAUAUAUGACAAUGUUAUAUUUUGGAUUUGUUCAA
Long non-coding RNA from Rosa rugosa (rugosa rose), 1906 nucleotides. RefSeq lists it as uncharacterized. The record is from RefSeq and is a predicted model, not a curated record. NCBI's taxonomy places the organism in Eukaryota, Viridiplantae, Streptophyta, Magnoliopsida, Rosales, Rosaceae. The transcript has 7 exons.